GACAUAGCUCAGUGGCAGAGCAUCGACUUUGCAUACAGAAGAUCCCAGGUUCAAUCUCUGGCAUCUCCA
This 69-nucleotide transfer RNA is filed under the name Podarcis lilfordi (Lilford's wall lizard). RNAcentral describes it as "tRNA.Ala". The record is from RNAcentral. Lineage: Eukaryota; Metazoa; Chordata; Lepidosauria; Squamata; Lacertidae.